Haliotis rubra (blacklip abalone) is the source of this 1316-nucleotide long non-coding RNA. RefSeq lists it as uncharacterized. The record is from RefSeq and is a predicted model, not a curated record. Lineage: Eukaryota; Metazoa; Mollusca; Gastropoda; Lepetellida; Haliotidae. The transcript is spliced from 2 exons.
UAACCUUAUGCCCGAACAGUAGACCUGUGUCUGAAAAAGUGACUUGUUUGUCUUCAUAUCUGAACAGUAGACGUGUGAAAACCUAGCUAGUGUGACCUUAUAUUCGUACAAUAGACAUGUGUGAAAACCGAACUAUUGUAACCUUGUACCUGUACAGUGGACAGGUGUGAAAACCGAACUAUUGUAACCUUGUACCUGUACAGUGGACAGGUGUGAAAACUGUGAAAACUGAACUAGUGUAACCUUGUACCUGUACAGUGGACAGGUGUGAAAACCUAACUAGUAUGUCUUUAUAUCUGUACAGUAGAUGCAUGUGAAAACCUAUCUAGUGUGUCCUUAUAUAUCUGUACAGUAGAUCUGUGUGUGAAAACCUAAGGUUUUCUUGUAAUUGUACAGUAGACCUUUGUGUGAAAAGGUGACCCAUUUCUUUCUUGUACUUGUACACCUGUGUGUGAAAACCUGACUUAUUAUUCAAUAUAUAUGUACAGUAGACCAUAUGCGAAACACUGAUUGUCCAGGUUGUCUCCAUUUACCUGUGGUUGUCAUGAGUGUCACGUGAUCUGUUAUUAGCAAUAAUUAUAGCAAGAUGUGUUCCCUGCAUCAAGAUAUUUUUCUCUCAGUACGAGGGUAUCAUUAAAUGGGAGUUACAAAUGAAGUUUUUAAACAAGAAUUGACAUAACCAAAUUAAUCAUGUCACAUUGAUGAAGUUACAAUGUAGUGAAUUUAUCAAGACAUGAAUGUAUGUGUAUGUAAGUAUAUGUUUGUGUUCAAGCCUCAAUACUGUAAAUGAAUUUCAUCUCACAAAUCAGAUGAUACAUGCCAAAUUAAUGUCUCAUAAUAUACAUCAGUGAUUUCCUAGAAACAUGCUUAAGUGCUUUCUUCGCCAUAUGUUCUCUCAUGUUUAGUUGUCUGUCGGAAUAUAUUCAUAUCAGAUUCCAUGUUUGCAGUGCUGUUGCCAUGAACACAAGUGGGACCAGUGCCAAGGGAGGCAACUCUGUUGUGUAAAUGCUAUAUGUGAUAAGGGGUUUUGUAGUGUAGGAAAACAAUUUCUAGGGUGUCAUAUAUGUAUUGUGAAUAGGCAUUUGGAUUUAAUUGCAAGUAUUAUAAUACCCUUGUUUGGUUUGAUAUGCUCAUGAAGAGAAAUAAGGGUACAUACACGACUGACUGUGUGUGCAUGUGUCCUUGAACUUGUACUUGCCAAUCUCUGUAAUGUCCAGCAAAUAUAGUUUUUAGUUUAGUGUUUAGAGUGAGUCUCUAAUGUACGGUGAUUGCAGUGCUGGCUUCUAAACCAUUCGUAAUAAAUUAUUUAACCAUUU